Small nucleolar RNA from Hibiscus syriacus, 107 nucleotides. The record is from RefSeq and is a predicted model, not a curated record. NCBI's taxonomy places the organism in Eukaryota, Viridiplantae, Streptophyta, Magnoliopsida, Malvales, Malvaceae.
AAGUCAUGCAUUAGGCAUUUACGUAAUAAAUCUUUAAAACACUCCCAAACUUCAUAUAGGUUUUCAUCCUCCAAUUUCAUCAAAGAUGUUAGAUAUUUCCUUAGUUU